GACGAACGCUGGCGGCGUGCUUAACACAUGCAAGUCGAACGGAAAGGCCCUGCUUUUGUGGGGUGCUCGAGUGGCGAACGGGUGAGUAACACGUGAGUAACCUGCCCUUGACUUUGGGAUAACUUCAGGUAACUGGGGCUAAUACCGGAUAGGAGCUCCUGCUGCAUGGUGGGGGUUGGAAAGUUUCGGCGGUUGGGGAUGGACUCGCGGCUUAUCAGCUUGUUGGUGGGGUAGUGGCUUACCAAGGCUUUGACGGGUAGCCGGCCUGAGAGGGUGACCGGCCACAUUGGGACUGAGAUACGGCCCAGACUCCUACGGGGGGCAGCAGUGGGGAAUAUUGCACAAUGGGCGGAAGCCUGAUGCAGCAACGCCGCGUGCGGGAUGACGGCCUUCGGGUUGUAAACCGCUUUCGCCUGUGACGAAGCGUGAGUGACGGUAAUGGGUAAAGAAGCACCGGCUAACUACGUG
RNAcentral lists this ribosomal RNA (468 nucleotides) under uncultured bacterium. Its description in RNAcentral is "partial 16S ribosomal RNA". It matches the Rfam family "Bacterial small subunit ribosomal RNA", at positions 28 to 507 of the family's 1533-position model. The record is from RNAcentral.